UUCGGAUCGCAGGCUGCAACCCGCCUGCGUGAAGUCGGAAUCGCUAGUAAUCGCGGAUCAGCAUGCCGCGGUGAAUACGUUCCCGGGCCUUGUACACACCGCCCGUCACACCAUGAGAGUCGGGAACACCCGAAGCCCGUAGCCUAACAGCAAUGAGGGCGCGGUCGAAGGUGGGUUCGAUAAUUGGGGUGAAGUCGUAACAAGGUAAC
This 209-nucleotide ribosomal RNA is filed under the name uncultured bacterium. RNAcentral's name for it is "partial 16S ribosomal RNA". It matches the Rfam family "Bacterial small subunit ribosomal RNA", at positions 1292 to 1500 of the family's 1533-position model. The record is from RNAcentral.